AAUCGCUAGUAAUCGCGGAUCAGCAUGCCGCGGUGAAUACGUUCCCGGGCCUUGUACACACCGCCCGUCACACCAUGAGAGUCGGGAACACCCGAAGUCCGUAGCCUAACCGCAAGGGGGGCGCGGCCGAAGGCGGGUUCAUGAUUGGGGUGAAGUCGUAACAAGGUACC
This 170-nucleotide ribosomal RNA is filed under the name uncultured bacterium. RNAcentral's name for it is "partial 16S ribosomal RNA". It matches the Rfam family "Bacterial small subunit ribosomal RNA", at positions 1330 to 1500 of the family's 1533-position model. The record is from RNAcentral.